UUUUUUUUUUUUUUUCUUUUGGUCUCCUUUUUCCUUUGACUUCCUCAGAUCACCCUGAGUAAAUACCUGUUACUGCAGCUAUCAGAACUAAUGAAAUAAGAAGCUUGUUCCCAAAUUGCAUAGUCUGAUCUUAUUAAACCCAAAGACUCAGAUGUGUUCUUUACUUUUGGUUCACUUUUCAGUGUGCUCCCUUACACUGGGGAGUAGCAGCUCCCCAGGAAGGUUCUUCAGGAGCAUCAUGACACUGAAGAAACAAACACACAUUUGUGCCCACAGUGAAAUCUGGUGCAUCACCUGACUCUUGUCUUUGUUGACUUCUGCUGACGAGAGUUAGGGCAAUAGUUACUGACAUAUUCCUGGUCCCAGCUUUUUCAGUAACUAUGUUCCCUUGCUUUUCAUGGCUUUCUAAACAUCAUUUGCCCACGUUGGGUUUUAUUUUCUGGUAUGUUUUAUUGCCCUACUUUCAGUGUUUUCUUCCUCUAAAAAUAGAUAAAUGCAGUAAAUAUUUUGAAAAAUACAUGAAAAGCAUUCAUUCAAUGUGAAUUAGUAAAAUGUGACUUCAGGGGAAAAGAAAGUCAAAGGUGUUUGCUAAACAACCCUCCUUGUUUUUCUGUUUAUGUAUCAUUCAUUUGGUGUGUAUAAUUUUAAUGAGCGAUCUCUCUGCAUGUAGGAAUAUGGUGCUGCAGUAUUUUAAAAGAAAAAUAGGCAAAGUUAAAAUCAAUAGCACCUUGUUUUAGUCCCCUCUCAUCACAUUUCAGCAGAUCAUUCUCUGAUUUAUAUCUAUGAUAUUUCUCUGACUGGAGGGCAGCUAUGGAACUGCUAGAUUGGGAUUUGCCUCUAUUGUCUACCUCUACUGUCUCACAAUCUGACUUCAUCAAAGCCAAUGUUGCUUCAUAAAUGUCAAAAUAAACAUGAUUAGAAAAGCCUGUUAUUCCACAAAUUAGAUAUUUAGUUUAUGGAGAAAAUUAAAAAGUUAAUGAGAAAAAUACUUGGUUCAAUAACAUGUCAAUUAUUUCCUGACAUUCUAUGCUUGUUAGAAAAAGGUGAGGAGGCUGUGUUUUAAUGAAGGAUUAAUUUGAUUUUUAAAUCCUUAGUUAGUUCAAGACUUCCCUGCUGUUCACAAAAACAUUCUUAAUCCUACAAUGGAGCUGAAUGAGCUUUUAAAGGCUGACAGAAAUAUCCUGGGUUGGCUGCACAUUAUUUUUUUGGAGUCUUAUAAGGCAACUGGAACCAACUUUUUGUCUAAAGUGUAAUUACAUGAUGAAGAGGGGGGAGAGUUUCAAUGCUGCUUUCUUUCCAAAUUAAAUGGUCACUUGUAAAACAUUGGCUUUUUUCCUGUUUAAAUUUAAUAAUGCCAUUGCUUUAGUGGUCAUCAAUCCUUUAGAGACACUGACUCCAGACUGAACUCCUUGGGGAACAAUCCCAGCUGUCAGAGGUAAAUCACAACAAUCUUCAUUGCUCUGUGUUCAAACAGAGAUCACGCUGAGGGUGUGCUAAUUCCAAGUGAGAGUUAGAUCUGGAUUGCUGCAGAAGUGCUAGAAAAUCCUGUCACAGAUGCUGAAUUUCUUAUAUCCUAUGUUUUCUUCUCCUUUUCUUAAAUAAAAACCUUUGAACUCAAGUUUUCUUAUGAAAGUAUAAGAAGCAAUAUAUAGUAAACAGGAGAGAAUUAAUUUCAUUAAAUACAGAAUCAGUUUCUUCUACAGAAAAAAUAUAUUGAGAAAAAUAAUCUGCACACAGGUAUACUCUGAACAUAAGAUCUGCAGAAUUACUGUCAGAGAAUCACUGGGGAUGGAUGGCACCUCUGGAGACCAUCUACUCUGACACCCUGCUAAGAGCACAGUCAACAACAGCAGCCGUUUGGGGUUUUUCUUGCUUUUUUUCCCCACUGCUUUUUACUUCUCCAGUACACUCAGAGCCGCUGACAGUCUAAAAUGUGCCAACUCACAAACAGUCUAGAUAAAUGAAAAACAUUACCUCAAUUAUAUCCCCUUACUGCAAAAGUCCUCUAUUUUUGUCUUUUUUGUCUGCACAGCUGAAAAACUUAGGAAAAGAACGAUGGUUUUUUCUCUAAUGAGCAAUGUCUUUUAUGUACUGCAAGCAUGUUAGCUGUAAUAGUAUUUGAUCAAGAUUUCUCUUUUGUAAGUAUGUGAGGUGGUAUAAUGUUAUCAAAGUAUCUAUAAAAGUGAUUAUUGAUGUAGCCAUGAAGAGCAAAGGUACACUGUUAAAUUUUGCCUAGCUCCAUAUCUGUUCAGGA
Molecule: long non-coding RNA, 2254 nt
Filed under: Taeniopygia guttata (zebra finch)
Lineage: Eukaryota; Metazoa; Chordata; Aves; Passeriformes; Estrildidae
Description: lncRNA (ENSTGUG00000020726.1)
Source: RNAcentral